CGUGAAACCCAAAAACGAAUAGGCCUUUGAAAUCUGGUUGAAAAUUCGUCGACGUUAUAUAAUUCGUAUUGAUUUUUCGAACGCACCCCGGUCGUCCGUCGGUGGACUUUUCGCGAUUUUCUAAAAUAUUUUCGACUCGUUAUUUACGACCGAAAGCGCGAAAAAAUCGUAUUCCAUACAAUUUUUGUUUUCCGUCUGACGACCGUAAUUUUUUAGAUA
Cinara cedri is the source of this 219-nucleotide non-coding RNA. Lineage: Eukaryota; Metazoa; Arthropoda; Insecta; Hemiptera; Aphididae. The record is from the annotation of a GenBank genome assembly.